RNAcentral lists this ribosomal RNA (253 nucleotides) under uncultured bacterium. Its description in RNAcentral is "partial 16S ribosomal RNA". It matches the Rfam family "Bacterial small subunit ribosomal RNA", at positions 524 to 776 of the family's 1533-position model. The record is from RNAcentral.
UACGUAGGGACCGAGCGUUGUCCGGAAUCAUUGGGCGUAAAGAGCGUGUAGGCGGCCCCUUAAGUCCUGCGUGAAAUCCUGCGGCUCAACCGCAGACGGUCGUGGGAAACUGGAGGGCUAGAGUGCGGGAGAGGAGAGUGGAAUUCCCGGUGUAGCGGUGAAAUGCGCAGAUAUCGGGAGGAACACCGGUGGCGAAGGCGGUUCUCUGGGCCUUACCUGACGCUGAGGAGCGAAAGCAUGGGGAGCAAACAGG